GAAUACUACACAAAUUAUAAGUAUGCAAUGUCGAAUAGUUGCAGGUUAAAGACCUGGAUAUUGAUUUCAAUAUGAUAGUCGACAAAGUGGCACAAAUGCACAGCCUGAGAAAAGAGGUUUUUUCCAGGGAAGCAAAUGGAAAACUCAAAUGGGCUUUGAGAAGUGGUCGGUUUGGUCCGUUUACAGAAGAGUUUGUUGACACUGUGAAUACCAGUUUGAUCACAUAUGUUGGAGUAGAAAAGCGCCACCUUAUACCGGAUUUAUUUAUGCCUGAGUCUAGAACCUGGUCUAUCACAUACAGUUGGUCCAGCAAGGGAUGCUGGUAGUAUAGACAA
Mytilus californianus (California mussel) is the source of this 335-nucleotide long non-coding RNA. RefSeq lists it as uncharacterized. The record is from RefSeq and is a predicted model, not a curated record. The transcript has 4 exons. Lineage: Eukaryota; Metazoa; Mollusca; Bivalvia; Mytilida; Mytilidae.